UACGUAGGGGGCAAGCGUUAUCCGGAUUUACUGGGUGUAAAGGGUGCGUAGGCGGUGUAGCAAGUUAGAAGUGAAAUACCUAGAGCUUAACUCAGGUGCUGCUUCUAAAACUGCUAUACUUGAGUGCAGUAGAGGAAAGUGGAAUUCCUAGUGUAGCGGUGAAAUGCGUAGAGAUUAGGAAGAACACCAGUGGCGAAGGCGACUUACUGGACUGUAACUGACGCUGAGGCAUGAGAGCAUGGGGAGCAAACAGG
This 254-nucleotide ribosomal RNA is filed under the name uncultured bacterium. RNAcentral's name for it is "partial 16S ribosomal RNA". It matches the Rfam family "Bacterial small subunit ribosomal RNA", at positions 524 to 776 of the family's 1533-position model. The record is from RNAcentral.